This is an RNA transcript of Drosophila gunungcola (fruit fly), 1448 nucleotides long. It is a transcript of the gene named protease inhibitor-like, with no coding region annotated. The transcript has 5 exons. Lineage: Eukaryota; Metazoa; Arthropoda; Insecta; Diptera; Drosophilidae. The record is from RefSeq and is a predicted model, not a curated record.
UUUUAAAGUAUAUAACAUUUCGGAACCGAAUCCUAUAUAAUCCGACUAAAUUGUUCAAUUGAUCAGUUCAGAUUCAGAAUGAAGUGCCUUUUGAUCUUGGUUGGCCUGACACUCUAUAUGUCCUGCACUGACGCACAAAGUACUUGCGUAGGACGUCCUAUUAAUCAGGUAUGCACUGGCAAUCAGGAUGAAGGAAACAGUAAUACACGCUGGUGCGGCGUGACUGCCAUGAACGAAAUGUGGUACUGGAGUUCGAGGACCAGAAAGUGUGAAAAGAUGAGGUAUCGCGGCUGUGGCGGCAACAAUAAUCGCUAUUGCAGUAACCGAGAUUGUACAUUAAAGUGCAGACGAUAAAUGUUUGGAUUCCGUUAACAUUAUAAACUGACAGAAUAAAUAUUAAAUUAAAAAAAAAUGCUUUUCCAAAUGAUUAUAACAACAUCUGAACUAUUCUGUUACAUACUUUGUCGGUGUAAUAACUUCUUGUUAAGAACCUUAAAAUAAAAUUCAAGUUCAAGUCGAAAAUUACACAAAUGCAAUUUGUAACAUCAUCAACAACUUUUUCAAAUUUUUUUUAUACAUUUUUCUUCUUGAAAAUUAAUUGAAAUUUCUGGCCGGAUAUUAAAAAUAGUUUUUAUUUUACGCAAUAAUUAAUUGGUAUUCGAAUUUACAAUAAUUAGAAAAGAUCGUUAGCUGUACAAAACAGUUUUACGACAACGUUAGAACGUAAAAGAAGUUCAAUGUAAAAAAGCUUUCUUGCUUCAACAUGUUAAAUUGUUUAAAUUUCUAAAAAAUCAUAACUGAUAUGGUCUCUGCUUAUAGAACACUACAAAUAUUUAUUUGAGUGAAACACAAUUUUAUGAUAUACAAUAACUUAACUUUUGAAGUUAUUGUAUAUCAUAAAAUUGUGUUUCUUAUUAAAACAAUUAAAAGUGUGGUACUACAACAAAUCUGCUGAAAUAUGCCUGAAGUUGAAUUACCAAGGAACACUUAAACUGUUUAUUUAUGUGAACUGAUCUGUUGACGUAACUGCUAAUGGAACUCAAAAACAAAAGCUCCAGCUUUGAACUCAGAAAUCAGUUCGAAACGAUUAUUCGAAAAGAAACUAUCGAAAAUGAAAAUUCUUUUGGUUUUGUCCUGCCUGAUCCUUUGUGUGUCCCUCAUCUCGGCUCAGACUUGCCAAGGACUUCCUCCGAAUGGCCAGAACUGCAAUGGCGGCAAGGAUGAAGGAGCUGCCAGGCAAGCUCGCGGAGGAGCGCAGUGCACUCCUCAGCCAAAUAACAGCAUGUGGUACUACAACAGGACUACUGGGAAAUGCCUGAAGAUGAGCUACAAAGGGUGUUACGGCAACAAAAACCGCUACUGCACCCUACAAAGCUGUGAGCGGGCAUGCCCUGGUCGAAGCUAGAAGAUAGCAUAACGAAAUAAAAUUAUUAAACUGCACAACACGA